CUCUUAGAUGUCCGGGGCCGCACGCGCGCUACACUGAAGGAAUCAGCGUGGCUUUCUCCCUGACCCGAAAGGGUUGGGAAACCCGUUGAAUCUCCUUCGUGAUAGGGAUUGGGGCUUGAAAUUGUUCCCCAUGAACGAGGAAUUCCCAGUAAGCGCGAGUCAUAAGCUCGCGUUGAUUACGUCCCUGCCCUCUGUACACACCGCCCGUCGCUACUACCGAUUGAACGGUUUAGUGAGGGCCUCGGAUUGGUCUCGGCCCGCUCUUUACCGGGCGGCGCCGUUGGUCGAGAAGACGCUCGAACUUGAUCGUUUAGAGGAAGUAAAAGUCGUAACA
Molecule: ribosomal RNA, 334 nt
Filed under: uncultured eukaryote
Lineage: Eukaryota
Description: partial 18S ribosomal RNA
Rfam family: Eukaryotic small subunit ribosomal RNA
Source: RNAcentral